RNAcentral lists this long non-coding RNA (676 nucleotides) under Triticum aestivum (bread wheat). RNAcentral's name for it is "long non-coding RNA (TAES_LNC011561)". The record is from RNAcentral. Lineage: Eukaryota; Viridiplantae; Streptophyta; Magnoliopsida; Poales; Poaceae.
AAAUAAGAGAUUCCAACUAAUCCAAAUGUAGGUGGGCAGAGCAAAGCAGGUGCAUACUGGCAGCCGUAGGUGGGCAGAAGCUAUAUCAAAUCGACAACUGACCAAACCGAGCCAGCCAGCGAGCAUUCAACCAAUCCGCGCGGCGCCGCUCAUGUCUUCCGCGGAGCUUCCUAUCAUCCUUCAACGCUGUCUGGCUCUUCACUGGCCCCGUCAGGCGCCUAUUCUUCUACUACGACGUCGACCCGGCCGCCACGCUCUUGCUCCUCGCUGCCUCCCUGUCACACGCGCUCUGCCGCUUCUUCCUGCGUGCCGGCACCUUCAUAGUAUUAAGAAAUAUUUGCAUCUAGUGAUCUAGGAGUAGUUCUGAGAAAAAGGGUGAAAGCUUGCAUACAGGAAAAAAUGAAGCGGCAAAGGGUGUUUUUUAGAUGUAUACCUUUUAGAUCGUCUACCUCCAUAGUCUGCGCAGGGCCGCCGUUCUCCCCCAUUGAGAAGGAACUCGCUCGCCCUUCAAAAGGCUGAUUUUGCUGCCACGAGGCUGUAUCUGUUUGUCACUCAGUAGUACUAUUUUCUGGCUCUUUCUCUGGACGGGCGAGAUACAAGAUGAUGAAAGCCACACCCCGCUCGCUUGACCCCGCUGUGCUUACCCAUAAAAUGGUCGGUGCAGUGCUGACGCCUG